UGCAGGUGGUUUGUUAAGUCAGAUGUGAAAGCCCCGGGGCUCAACCUCGGAAUUGCAUUUGAAACUGGCAAACUAGAGUACUGUAGAGGGGGUAGAAUUUCAGGUGUAGCGGUGAAAUGCGUAGAGAUCUGAAGGAAUACCGGUGGCGAAGGCGGCCCCCUGGACAGAUACUGACACUCAGAUGCGAAAGCGUGGGGAGCAAACAGGAUUAGACUACCCUGGUAG
Molecule: ribosomal RNA, 225 nt
Filed under: uncultured bacterium
Lineage: Bacteria
Description: partial 16S ribosomal RNA
Rfam family: Bacterial small subunit ribosomal RNA
Source: RNAcentral